AGAUAGCAAUUCAUUUUAUUAUUUUAUUUGCAUCAUUUAAUCUUAGACCUUUAGUGAAAACUCUCUCACACUCUCUCUCUCUCUCAGUUCCUCAAGUACUUCCCCUUCCAACAGUUCGGUGUGAGUGUUUGUGUUUGUGUGUGUGUGUGUGUGUGUGUGUGUGUGUGUGUGUGUGUGUGUGUGUGUGUGUGUGUGUGUGUGUGUGUGUGUGUGUGUGUGUGUCUGUGUAUGUGUGUGUGUGUGUGUGUGUGUGUGUGUGUGUGUGUAUGUGCACAUGUCCGCUACCCGUUUUCCCAGAAUACAUGUGACAUGCGCUGAGAGGGGCGGUUCAGCUAAGUUACUUCCUCAUCUGAACCGUCCGUCGCAGCGAGGAGCCUUUCUUCCUCCCCUUUGAAAACCUUUCACAUGAUUAAUGAGUUUCAAAAACACUUUAACCUCAGUUUCUUCCCUUACAUUUAUACUUUUAUAACUUUUUACCGUAUGGGACGGAACGUAUUUUCUCCAGUCUACUAUGGAUGAGGAGAGGGAGGAGGGGGGUCCUACCUCUAAGACCACUCUGUCUGAGGAACAUGGCCGCCAGAGCAAAGCUAAGAGGUCUCCAGUAUACUAUGGAUGAGGAGAGAGAAGAGGGGGGUCCUACCUCUAAGACCACUCUGUCUGGGGAACAUGGCCGCCGGAGCAAAGCUAAGAGGUAAGAAGAGGAUCUCUCUGUCUGUGACUGUUGUCCAUCUCAGAGCUCAGCAGUGAUACAUCAUGACUCCAUCAUUAGUCUGAGUAAAAGCUGUGUGUGUGUGUGUGUGUGUGUGUGUGUGUGUAUGUGUGUGUGUGUGUGUGUGUGUGUGUGUGUGUGUGUGUGUGUGUGUGUGUGUUGAAGCCCAGAGAAGCAGCAGAGAGCAGACUCCCCUGGACCCAGCUGUGUCUCCAUGAAGAGUGACCGCUCUAUGGA
RNAcentral lists this long non-coding RNA (946 nucleotides) under Gadus morhua (Atlantic cod). Its description in RNAcentral is "lncRNA (ENSGMOG00000028034.1)". Lineage: Eukaryota; Metazoa; Chordata; Actinopteri; Gadiformes; Gadidae. The record is from RNAcentral.